This 253-nucleotide ribosomal RNA is filed under the name uncultured bacterium. RNAcentral describes it as "partial 16S ribosomal RNA". It matches the Rfam family "Bacterial small subunit ribosomal RNA", at positions 524 to 776 of the family's 1533-position model. The record is from RNAcentral.
UACAGAGGUCUCAAGCGUUGUUCGGAUUCAUUGGGCGUAAAGGGUGCGUAGGCGGCGCGGUAAGUCGGGUGUGAAAUCUCGGAGCUUAACUCCGAAACUGCAUUCGAUACUGCCGUGCUUGAGGACUGGAGAGGAGACUGGAAUUUACGGUGUAGCGGUGAAAUGCGUAGAUAUCAGGAGGAACACCAAUGGCGAAGGCAGCACUCUGGGACGUGACUGACGCUGAGACGCGAAAGCGUGGGGAGCAAACAGG